Molecule: ribosomal RNA, 467 nt
Filed under: uncultured bacterium
Lineage: Bacteria
Description: partial 16S ribosomal RNA
Rfam family: Bacterial small subunit ribosomal RNA
Source: RNAcentral
GACGAACGCUGGCGGCGUGCUUAACACAUGCAAGUCGAACGGAAAGGCCCCUUUCGGGGGGUACUCGAGUGGCGAACGGGUGAGUAACACGUGAGUAACCUGCCCUUGACUUUGGGAUAACUUCAGGAAACUGGGGCUAAUACCGGAUAGGAGCUCCUGCUGCAUGGUGGGGUGGGGAGAGUUUUGGCGGUUGGGGAUGGUCUCGCGGCUUAUCAGCUUGUUGGUGGGGUAGUGGCUUACCAAGGCUUUGACGGGUAGCCGGCCUGAGAGGGUGACCGGCCACAUUGGGACUGAGAUACGGCCCAGACUCCUACGGGAGGCAGCAGUGGGGAAUAUUGCACAAUGGGUGGAAGCCUGAUGCAGCAACGCCGUGUGCGGGAGGACGGCCUUCGGGUUGGAAACCGCUUUCGCUCAUGACGAAGCUUUGUGUGACGGUAGUGGGUAAAGAAGCACCGGCUAACUACGUG